Molecule: ribosomal RNA, 106 nt
Filed under: Leiopotherapon unicolor (spangled perch)
Lineage: Eukaryota; Metazoa; Chordata; Actinopteri; Centrarchiformes; Terapontidae
Description: partial 16S ribosomal RNA
Source: RNAcentral
CGCCCAUCAGCUAGCCCAACCCCUAAAACCAAAAACAACCAACCAAUAUUCAUAACCCCAAAAGCACUAACCCUAAUACAAAACAAACCAUUUUUCCCCCUUAGUA